GACGAACGCUGGCGGCGUGCUUAAUACAUGCAAGUCAACUGAACUUGAAGUAGCAAUAUUUCAAGGGAGGUGGCGCACGGGUGAGUAACACGUAGGUAAUCUGCCUUUAGGUCUGACAUAAUUCCGCGAAAGCGGGACUAACUUCAGAUGAUGCAGCGGCUCGACAUCGAGACAGUUGUUAAAUCUUCGGAGCCUAAAGAUGAGCCUGCGUCUGAUUAGGUAGUUGGCGGAGUAAAAGCCCACCAAGCCUGCGAUCAGUAGCUGGUCUGAGAGGAUGAUCAGCCACACUGGAACUGAGACACGGUCCAGACUCCUACGGGAGGCAGCAGUAAGGAAUAUGCUCAAUGGCCGAAAGGCUGAAGCAGCAACGCCGCGUGGAGGAUGAAAUACUUUUGUAUGUAAACUCCUGUAAGAAGGGAAAAUAUUUCGAUUAUCGGAAUUGAUUGUACCUUCAGAGUAAGCA
This 463-nucleotide ribosomal RNA is filed under the name uncultured bacterium. RNAcentral's name for it is "bacterial SSU rRNA". It matches the Rfam family "Bacterial small subunit ribosomal RNA", at positions 28 to 492 of the family's 1533-position model. The record is from RNAcentral.